UCCAGACUCCUACGGGAGGCAGCAGUGGGGAAUAUUGCACAAUGGGCGAAAGCCUGAUGCAGCAACGCCGCGUGAAGGAAGAAGGGUUUCGGCUCGUAAACUUCUAUCAACAGGGACGAAAGAAAUGACGGUACCUGACUAAGAAGCCCCGGCUAACUACGUGCCAGCAGCCGCGGUAAUACGUAGGGGGCAAGCGCUAUCCGGAAUUACUGGGUGUAAAGGGAGCGUAGGCGGUUUAGCAAGUCAGAAGUGAAAGCCCGGGGCUCAACUCCGGGACUGCUUUUGAAACUGUUGAACUAGAUUGCAGGAGAGGUAAGUGGAAUUCCUAGUGUAGCGGUGAAAUGCGUAGAUAUUAGGAGGAACACCAGUGGCGAAGGCGGCUUACUGGACUGUAAAUGACGCUGAGGCUCGAAAGCGUGGGGAGCAAACAGGAUUAGAUACCCCCGUAUC
RNAcentral lists this ribosomal RNA (450 nucleotides) under uncultured bacterium. Its description in RNAcentral is "bacterial SSU rRNA". It matches the Rfam family "Bacterial small subunit ribosomal RNA", at positions 330 to 794 of the family's 1533-position model. The record is from RNAcentral.